UCACUACCUCUUUCCUAUGAUCCAUUGGUGACGAUGCUACUCUACGGCAAGGAGACCUUGGAGUAUGAAGACAUGGUCUCGGUGCUGCGGUCCAACAAACAGUGAGAGAAGUUGACCAAAAAAGGUGCACCCUAAGAAGGCUUGGCCAUAGGGGAGAGAUCAGAAAGGAAAGAGAAAGAGGCAAGUCAAGGGGACGGUCAAAGUCUCAAAAGAGCAGGAGCAGGAAGGAAGCCAGGUGCUACAAGUGCAACG
This 252-nucleotide long non-coding RNA is filed under the name Elaeis guineensis (African oil palm). RNAcentral describes it as "long non-coding RNA (EGUI_LNC041400)". Lineage: Eukaryota; Viridiplantae; Streptophyta; Magnoliopsida; Arecales; Arecaceae. The record is from RNAcentral.